GACGAACGCUGGCGGCGUGCUUAACACAUGCAAGUCGAACGGAAAGGCCCUGCUUUUGUGGGGUGCGCGAGUGGCGAACGGGUGAGUAACACGUGAGUAACCUGCCCUUUACUUUGGGAUAACUUCAGGAAACUGGGGCUAAUACCGGAUAGGAGCUCCUGCGGCAUGGUGGGGGUUGGAAAGUUUCGGCGGUGGGGGAUGGACUCGCGGCUUAUCAGCUUGUUGGUGGGGUAGUGGCUUACCAAGGCUUUGAGGGGUAGCCGGCCUGAGAGGGUGACCGGCCACAUUGGGACUGAGAUGCGGCCCAGACUCCUACGGGAGGCAGCAGUGGGGAAUAUUGCACAAUGGGCGGAAGCCUGAUGCAGCAACGCCGCGUGCGGGAUGACGGCCUUCGGGUUGUAAGCCGCUUUCGCCUGUGACGAAGCGUGAGUGACGGUAAUGGGUAAAGAAGCACCGGCUAACUACGU
This 467-nucleotide ribosomal RNA is filed under the name uncultured bacterium. RNAcentral's name for it is "partial 16S ribosomal RNA". It matches the Rfam family "Bacterial small subunit ribosomal RNA", at positions 28 to 506 of the family's 1533-position model. The record is from RNAcentral.